This 30-nucleotide non-coding RNA is filed under the name Mus musculus (house mouse). Lineage: Eukaryota; Metazoa; Chordata; Mammalia; Rodentia; Muridae. The record is from RNAcentral.
UAUUUGUCCUAUGUUAGGUUCUUGCAAGUC